Molecule: transfer RNA, 75 nt
Filed under: Schistocerca americana (American grasshopper)
Lineage: Eukaryota; Metazoa; Arthropoda; Insecta; Orthoptera; Acrididae
Also listed under: 3 other names
Description: tRNA-Thr
Rfam family: tRNA
About the family: Transfer RNA (tRNA) molecules are approximately 80 nucleotides in length. Their secondary structure includes four short double-helical elements and three loops (D, anti-codon, and T loops).
Source: RNAcentral
GCCCGCGGUGGCUCAGAUGGAUAGAGCGUCUGCCAUGUAAGCAGAAGAUCCCGGGUUCGAGUCCCGGUCGGGGCA